This 374-nucleotide ribosomal RNA is filed under the name uncultured organism. Its description in RNAcentral is "partial 16S ribosomal RNA". It matches the Rfam family "Bacterial small subunit ribosomal RNA", at positions 525 to 896 of the family's 1533-position model. The record is from RNAcentral.
GGGAGGGGUGCAAGCGUUGUUCGGAAUUAUUGGGCGUAAAGAGCGUGUAGGCGGUCCGGUAAGUCAGAUGUGAAAGCCCCCGGGCUCAACCCAGGAAGUGCAUUUGAAACUACCAGACUUGAGUACGGGAGAGGAGGGGGGAAUUCCCGGUGUAGAGGUGAAAUUCGUAGAUAUCGGGAGGAAUACCAGUGGCGAAGGCGCCCCUCUGGACCGAUACUGACGCUGAGACGCGAAAGCGUGGGGAGCAAACAGGAUUAGAUACCCUGGUAGUCCACGCCGUAAACGAUGAGCACUAGGUGUAGCGGGUAUUGACCCCUGCUGUGCCGUAGCUAACGCAUUAAGUGCUCCGCCUGGGGACUACGGUCGCAAGACUA